Molecule: ribosomal RNA, 478 nt
Filed under: uncultured bacterium
Lineage: Bacteria
Description: bacterial SSU rRNA
Rfam family: Bacterial small subunit ribosomal RNA
Source: RNAcentral
AUUGAACGCUGGCGGCAUGCCUUACACAUGCAAGUCGAACGGCAGCGGACCUUCGGGUGCCGGCGAGUGGCGAACGGGUGAGUAAUAUAUCGGAACGUACCUUUCAGUGGGGGAUAACGUAGCGAAAGUUACGCUAAUACCGCAUAUUCUGUGAGCAGGAAAGCAGGGGAUCGCAAGACCUUGCGCUGAUUGAGCGGCCGAUAUCAGAUUAGCUAGUUGGUGAGGUAAUGGCUCACCAAGGCUUAGACGUCUAGGGGGUGUGAGAGCAUGGCCCCCACCACUGGGACUGAGAUACUGCCCAGACACCUACGGGUGGCUGCAGUCGAGAAUCUUCGGCAAUGGGCGCAAGCCUGACCGAGCAACGCCGCGUGCGGGAUGAAGGCCCUUGGGUUGUAAACCGCUGUCAGGGGGGAUGAAAGCGCAAGCUUGACAGAGCCCCAGAGGAAGCACGGGCUAAGUUCGUGCCAGCAGCCGACGG